Molecule: ribosomal RNA, 402 nt
Filed under: uncultured bacterium
Lineage: Bacteria
Description: bacterial SSU rRNA
Rfam family: Bacterial small subunit ribosomal RNA
Source: RNAcentral
UGGGGAAUAUUGCACAAUGGGGGAAACCCUGAUGCAGCGACGCCGCGUGAGCGAAGAAGUAUUUCGGUAUGUAAAGCUCUAUCAGCAGGGAAGAAAAUGACGGUACCUGACUAAGAAGCUCCGGCUAAAUACGUGCCAGCAGCCGCGGUAAUACGUAUGGAGCAAGCGUUAUCCGGAUUUACUGGGUGUAAAGGGAGCGUAGACGGCGCUGCAAGUCUGAUGUGAAAGGCCGGGGCUCAACCCCGGGACUGCAUUGGAAACUGUGGAGCUUGAGUGCCGGAGAGGUAAGCGGAAUUCCUAGUGUAGCGGUGAAAUGCGUAGAUAUUAGGAGGAACACCAGUGGCGAAGGCGGCUUACUGGACGGUAACUGACGUUGAGGCUCGAAAGCGUGGGGAGCAAACA